CCUACGGGUGGCAGCAGUAAGGAAUAUUGGGCAAUGGUCGGAAGACUGACCCAGCCAUGCCGCGUGCAGGAAGGAGCCCCUCUGGGGUGUAAACUGCUUUUCUACGGGAAGAAAACGCCCUUGCGAGGGAACUUGCCGGUACCGUAGGAAUAAGCACCGGCUAACUACGUGCCAGCAGCCGCGGUAAUACGUAGGGUGCGAGCGUUGUCCGGAUUUAUUGGGUUUAAAGGGUGCGUAGGUGGCAUAUUAAGUCUUGGGUGAAAGUCUGCAGCUCAACUGUAGGAUUGCCUGCGAUACUGAUAAGCUUGAGUUUGGUUGAGGCAACUGGAAUUGGUGAUGUAGCGGUGAAAUGCAUAGAUAUCACCAGGAACGCCGAUAGCGUAGGCAGGUUGCUAAGCCGAUACUGACACUGAGGCACGAAAGCGUGGGGAUCAAACAGG
RNAcentral lists this ribosomal RNA (440 nucleotides) under uncultured bacterium. RNAcentral describes it as "bacterial SSU rRNA". It matches the Rfam family "Bacterial small subunit ribosomal RNA", at positions 338 to 776 of the family's 1533-position model. The record is from RNAcentral.